This 468-nucleotide ribosomal RNA is filed under the name uncultured bacterium. RNAcentral describes it as "partial 16S ribosomal RNA". It matches the Rfam family "Bacterial small subunit ribosomal RNA", at positions 28 to 523 of the family's 1533-position model. The record is from RNAcentral.
GAUGAACGCUGGCGGCGUGCCUAACACAUGCAAGUCGAGCGAUCUUCUUCGGAAGAGAGCGGCGGACGGGUGAGUAACGCGUGGGUAACCUGCCCUGUACACACGGAUAACAUACCGAAAGGUAUGCUAAUACGAGAUAACAUACUUUUAUCGCAUGGCAGAAUUAUCAAAGCUCCGGCGGUACAGGAUGGACCCGCGUCUGAUUAGCUAGUUGGUAAGGUACCGGCUUACCAAGGCUGCGAUCAGUAGCCGCUCUGAGAGUGAGAUCGGCCAAAUUGGAACUCAGACGCGGUCGACACUGCUACUGGAGGCAGCGGUGGGGAAUAUUGCACAAAGGGAGAAAUCUUUAUGCAGUAACGACGCAUGAGCGAAGAAGGCCUUCUGGUCGUAAAGCUAGGUCCUCAAGGAAGAUACUGACUGAACUUGAAGAGGAAGCCGCGGCUAACUACGUGCCACCCGCCGCCGUAA